Larimichthys crocea (large yellow croaker) is the source of this 213-nucleotide small nucleolar RNA. Its record names the gene U3. It matches the Rfam family "Small nucleolar RNA U3". Rfam says of the family: Small nucleolar RNAs (snoRNAs) are involved in the processing and modification of rRNA in the nucleolus. NCBI's taxonomy places the organism in Eukaryota, Metazoa, Chordata, Actinopteri, Sciaenidae. The record is from Ensembl.
GGGACUAUACUUUCAGGGAUCAUUUCUUCUAGUUUCUAACUUGAGAAAAUGUGUUCAAAGUUUUGCGUCCCGCCAACACAAUGAUGAGUCGUGAUUAUUUCCUUCUGAGCGUGAAGCCUGGACAAGAAGUAAUGAUUCAAUUCAUAUGUUCUGUAUUGCUGAUUUUUCUUUACUUCUUUGUGGAGUACUGAGGAAGGAAUUGAUCAGAGUGGU